RNAcentral lists this ribosomal RNA (468 nucleotides) under uncultured bacterium. Its description in RNAcentral is "partial 16S ribosomal RNA". It matches the Rfam family "Bacterial small subunit ribosomal RNA", at positions 28 to 507 of the family's 1533-position model. The record is from RNAcentral.
GACGAACGCUGGCGGCGUGCUUAACACAUGCCAGUCGAACAGAAAGGCCCUGCUUUUGUGGGGUGCUCGAGUGGCGAACGGGUGAGUAACACGUGAGUAACCUGCCCUUGACUUUGGGAUAACUUCAGGAAACUGGGGCUAAUACCGGAUAGGAGCUCCUGCUGCAUGGUGGGGGUUGGAAAGUUUCGGCGGUUGGGGAUGGACUCGCGGCUUAUCAGCUUGUUGGUGGGGUAGUGGCUUACCAAGGCUUUGACGGGUAGCCGGCCUGAGAGGGUGACCGGCCACAUUGGGACUGAGAUACGGCCCAGACUCCUACGGGAGGCAGCAGUGGGGAAUAUUGCACAAUGGGCGGAAGCCUGAUGCAGCAACGCCGCGUGCGGGAUGACGGCCUUCGGGUUGUAAACCGCUUUCGCCUGUGACGAAGCGGGAGUGACGGUAAUGGGUAAAGAAGCACCGGCUAACUACGUG